Pelobates cultripes (western spadefoot toad) is the source of this 4078-nucleotide non-coding RNA. The record is from the annotation of a GenBank genome assembly. Lineage: Eukaryota; Metazoa; Chordata; Amphibia; Anura; Pelobatidae.
CCAAUACUAUCUUGCCCAUGAUGUUGCCAGACAACCUCUUUAAAUUGUCUUCAUGCUGAAUUUCUUAAGAUGUAGCUGAUGCUGUUUUUGUAAAUACAGGUGAUUCACAUGGAUUAUGGGAUGAAGGAGCAAAAUCCCAUCAACAACGUGCGCUUUUACUGCAAAUCUGACCCACUGCAAGCUAUAAAGAUAAGAAAAGAUCAGGUUAGUGCAAGGUGCUGUGUAAUGAGCGGCUAUUCAUAAGGGAGAAAAAGGGUGGGGGGGUUGUUAUGUGCUACACCCUACUGCUUGUAAUGUAAAGAAAAAUUAUACAGAAGUAAAAACAGAAGCAAUGGACUACGAGCCAUUAUACCGAUAUGUAAUCCAACCUAAACAUGGCACCUAGUGUGUGAUUGCACGAAACGUCCUUUUAAGCCAAUAGACUAACUUUGUGCCAGUGUUAUUCUGAAUGUGCAUGUAUUUUGUGCACUGCAUAAACUAGUAGAGUAGUGUUAAACCAUAUUGUCCAAAUGUUUUUCAACAAGUCCUUUAAUUCUCGGUUGAGCAUAGGCUAAUGUGUGGUAGUGGUAUUAUGGGUUUUGGAAUUGUGUUGUAUUAGAAAAAAAUACAAUCUACAUGGAAUUAUGCUGUUUCUCGAUUUUAUCUAAUGGCUGAUAAACCGGACAAUACAAAAAAAUGUAGGUAGCUGAACUUUAUAUUUGUUUUGCUAUCAUUAUAAAUACUUUUUAUUUUUUUUCUCCCAUCUAAUUUUUAGAAUGUCUUCUUUUCUACAUAUUUGUAGCCUAUACUAGAAUAGUAAACUUUUAAAUGUCUUGUAACUUUCUAAAAGGUCUCACAGCUUUUGCCAGAGAAAUUUGCUGAGCAAAUUAUACGUGUUUACUGCAAGCUAGCUGAUCAAAAGAGCCUUGAAGCUGCGAAGAGAUAUUUCAUCCAGUGGUGCAUGAACAGGGACUUCUCAAAACCUCAGGUUUGUAACUGUAAUUUUGUGUAGCAUUCUGUAAUUGAAAAGAAGCCAGGGAUCACAGGAGUACCACAACUGAGAGUACCACUAUUUGUUGUUGCAGGAUGGAGAUGUAAUUGCUCCAGACAUGACUCCACUGAAAGCCAGCUGGGUCAACGAUGAUGAUGAAGAGGAUGGCCAUGAACUAAAACAGAGGAGGGCAGAUGCAAUGAAAUCUAGGACCAAACUUUUUGUAAAGUAAUACUCCUCCAAGAAAAUUGUUUAGAAUGAGAAUGUUAUGGUUCUUCAGUUUGUUCCUUCAACCGUGAUCUACAGAGCCUUCUGCGGGAGUACUGUGGACAUUGUAACAGGAUAUGUGUUUUUUCUCGUUCAGUCUCCUAGAUUUAAGAAUUGUGACAAAACUUGCUAAUGUUUCCAAAAAACAAACCAAAAACAUUUUAUAUAUAUAUUUUUAUAAUUCUUUUUUUUUUAAAAACCACAUAAUUUUGUGUAUUUUCAUACACAUACUGGAUUGUGGUCUCCACCCCCCAUUUGGUUACUCAGUGCAGUGAGAGUUGACCUUGAUGGAACAUGGGAAAAUAUAGUUCAUGCUAAAUGUUUGCCAAUUCUGCACUAGAGCAUACUGUGAAUGUAUCUAUUAAUGGAACCUAGAGCUCCUGUAUUGGUAUGCAAAUUGCUGGUGAAAGGCUUUGCAUACUCGUAUAUGAGGGGCUAAAAUUGGGCAGUUGAAUCAUGAACACUCAUUUUAUUUAUGAUUUUUAAAAUCUAUUUUUAAUUUUUUCUAUUUUUUUUUUUGUAAUUGCACAAUGAGGUCUCAAUAUUAUGUAUAAAUUGUGACAGUUCACGAACUGUCAAAUUAUAGGCUGUAAGAAACAUCUACACCGUUCUUUACUAAAGUGAAGUGUUGUGAAUCAAAGUGGAUGUCAAAUUUAAGCUGUAAGUUUGGCUACAUCGGCUUUACUUAUCACUUUGGUAUAUAAUCCUGCUAGAUCAGCGGUUCCCAAACUGUGUUCCCAAACCCCACAGGGGUGCCGCCAAAUGUUCCCAAUGAUGAUCAUCUGAUUACAACAGUGGGAACCAUGCCUCCCUUUCCUCUGCAGGACUGGAAGGGAGAUCAGAGAUCCCCCUCACCAGCCCGCUAGCACUGUAUUGCUGCAGCCGGCAGUGGAGGGGAGGGAGAGAGGAAGAGAGUACCCGGGGGAGCUCUAACCUGCAGCUCCACCUGGUUCUUCUCUCUGGAGCUUGGAGCAUUUCGGUUACCACUGCAACGUUAUGAAUCUUGCAAGAGUAAACUUUAGCCUCAGGAGCUGCUAGAGUUCACUCUCCCCACUGGGACCACCGGGGGUUCUCCUUUGGACCACCAGGGAUUGCAGAAAAUGUACCCCCCUCCCUGAACAAAGGUAAGAAGGUGGGGGGGGGAGGAUAUGAAAAGUGUUAUGUUUUUUUUAUAUAUAUACAUUCACACAUAUACUCCCCUCCUACCCCCACAAUAACUCACCCUCCCUACACACACGCACUGCCCCCCAUAGACCUGCACUGUAACCCUCACACGCACUGCCCCCCAUAGACCUGCACUGUAACCCUCACACGCACUGCCCCCCAUAGACCUGCACUGUAACCCUCACACGCACUGCCCCCCAUAGACCUGCACUGUAACCCUCACACGCACUGCCCCCCAUAGAUGCGCACUGUAACCCUCACACGCACUGCCCCCCAUAGAUGCGCACUGUAACCCUCACACGCACUGUACCCUACACACGCGCACUAGCCCUCACGCACUGCCCCCUAUAGACCUGCACUGUAGCCCACACGCACUGCCCCCACAUAGACAUGCACUGUAGCCCUCACACGCACUGUAUCCCCAGGCACGUGCACUGUACCGCACGGCACUACCCCCAUAGACACGCACUGUAGCACCCACACACACACUAUACCCCACAAACACACUGUAUCACUCAAUACACAAACACUGUGCCCUGCACGUGCGCACACACUGCACCUCUAGCGUACACACAUACAUUGCACCGCAACACACACACACACACACACACACACACACACACACACACACACACAACUGCACCUAUCCCCUUUACCGGCAGACCCCAGGUAAGUUGUCAAACUGUUCUUAAACAGUUUGACUACGUACCCUGGGAGAGCACCCUGGCACCGUAACCACUACAGAGUUCUGUAGUGCUUCUUGUGCCUGGAUUGUUUCUUUAAGUAAUCUACCAGUGCCCCUCCCAAGAUUAGGUUCUGGAUCUUCCUUUGACAGGGAAAUAUUUCUACAGGGGCCCAGUAUAUGCUGUACAUGUAUAUAACCUAAAAAUUUGUUUGACUUGGGGCGCCUUGGAAAAAUAUUGAAAUAUUAAGGGCGCCUUGAACCUAAAAAGUUUGGGAACCUCUGUGCUAGAUGUUUGUUUAUGCACAACAGUAUUGACUAAUUUCAAACGUUAAGGUUUAUUAUUUUUUAUUUAUAGGGCAAGUUAAUUUGUUUUAAGUGGGUUUUCACUACUGCAAAUAUCAGAAUUAAGUUAUUUCUGGUUAAUGGAAGGAUUAAAAAGUCUGUUCAAUCACUAGAACUGAUCUUAUUUAUAUAGUGUAUAGUGGUUAGGACUGACCAAAAGUGGCCAGGGAUAAGCUCACUUGGUAGCUUAUACAGAACAAUUCACUAGAUUCAAAUUAAGCUCCUGGAGGUACAACCAAAGUGUUUUCAAUUAUGGCACUAACAACUCACAGCUCGUUACUCCUAUAUCCAUAUUUGCACCCCAUGUAUAGCAGUGAUUUAACAUGCUUUCCUGAUGUUCAAUGUGGAACAUCUUAAAGUGAACAGUGUUAACACAAAGAAUGUAUAGUUGGUUAUUUUAUUUAAUUGAAGCUUGAUUCUGCCUCCCGGAAGUAUGGAGCUGUAUUGGAUACAAGUUCCUUUUUAGUUGCCUAAAGCUUACUUCUACCUAUUCAAAUAUGAUGGCUGCAACAGAAGUAUAGAUUUACCCCUGUCCCAGAGUGCAAAUUACAAUGCUGCACUCUGGUCAUUGUGGAUGAUUCUUCACCAUAGGGAAAAAAAAUCAGAAACAAAAAUGACAAGGUGUCACUGUAGAUGAAGAAAAAAAAAAA